AACGAACGCUGGCGGCGCGCCUAAUACAUGCAAGUCGAACGAGAAGCUGUAGCAAUACAGUUGUACAGUGGCGAACGGGUGAGGAAUACAUGGGUGACCUACCCUCGAGUGGGGAUAACCAGCCGAAAGGUUGGCUAAUACCGCGUACGCUUCCCAGUCUACGGGUUGGGAAGGAAAGCGAUGCCGUGGGUAUCGCGCUCAAGGUUGGGCUCAUGUCCUAUCAGCUUGNGGUGGGGUAACGGCUCACCAAGGCAACGACGGGUAGCUGGUCUGAGA
This 276-nucleotide ribosomal RNA is filed under the name uncultured bacterium. Its description in RNAcentral is "partial 16S ribosomal RNA". It matches the Rfam family "Bacterial small subunit ribosomal RNA", at positions 29 to 297 of the family's 1533-position model. The record is from RNAcentral.